This 491-nucleotide ribosomal RNA is filed under the name uncultured bacterium. Its description in RNAcentral is "partial 16S ribosomal RNA". It matches the Rfam family "Bacterial small subunit ribosomal RNA", at positions 29 to 506 of the family's 1533-position model. The record is from RNAcentral.
AGUGAACGCUGGCGGUAGGCCUAACACAUGCAAGUCGAACGGCAGCACAGUAAGAGCUUGCUCUUACGGGUGGCGAGUGGCGGACGGGUGAGGAAUACAUCGGAAUCUACUUUUUCGUGGGGGAUAACGUAGGGAAACUUACGCUAAUACCGCAUACGACCUACGGGUGAAAGCAGUGGAUCUUCGGACCUUGCGCGAUUGAAUGAGCCGAUGUCGGAUUAGCUAGUUGGCGGGGUAAGGGCCCACCAAGGCGACGAUCCGUAGCUGGUCUGAGAGGAUGAUCAGCCACACUGGAACUGAGACACGGUCCAGACUCCUACGGGAGGCAGCAGUGGGGAAUAUUGGACAAUGGGCGCAAGCCUGAUCCAGCCAUACCGCGUGGGUGAAGAAGGCCUUCGGGUUGUAAAGCCCUUUUGUUGGGAAAGAAAAGCAGCAGGUUAAUACCCCGCUGUUCUGACGGUACCCAAAGAAUAAGCACCGGCUAACUUCGU